GCUGGCUUUGGCAGCAGACACUAAAACUGGAAUAAUAAAGGGAGGAUUUGCAUGGCCCCAAUGCAAGAUGACACCCACUGUACAGGGUCCCCUUUAAAAACU
Molecule: small nuclear RNA, 102 nt
Filed under: Meriones unguiculatus (Mongolian gerbil)
Lineage: Eukaryota; Metazoa; Chordata; Mammalia; Rodentia; Muridae
Source: RNAcentral